AGUCGAACGGUAACAGGUCUUCGGAUGCUGACGAGUGGCGAACGGGUGAGUAAUACAUCGGAACGUGCCCGAUCGUGGGGGAUAACGCAGCGAAAGCUGUGCUAAUACCGCAUACGAUCUACGGAUGAAAGCGGGGGAUCGCAAGACCUCGCGCGGACGGAGCGGCCGAUGGCAGAUUAGGUAGUUGGUGAGGUAAAGGCUCACCAAGCCGUCGAUCUGUAGCUGGUCUGAGAGGACGACCAGCCACACUGGGACUGAGACACGGUCCAGACUCCUACGGGAGGCAGCAGUGGGGAAUUUUGGACAAUGGGCGAAAGCCUGAUCCAGCAAUGCCGCGUGAGUGAAGAAGGCCUUCGGGUUGUAAAGCUCUUUUGUCAGGGAAGAAACGGUGAGGGCUAAUAUCUCUUGCUAAUGACGGUACCUGAAGAAUAAGCACCGGCUAACUACGUGCCAGCAGCCGCGGUAAU
This 467-nucleotide ribosomal RNA is filed under the name uncultured bacterium. Its description in RNAcentral is "bacterial SSU rRNA". It matches the Rfam family "Bacterial small subunit ribosomal RNA", at positions 60 to 524 of the family's 1533-position model. The record is from RNAcentral.